CCUACGGGGUGCAGCAGUGAGGAAUAUUGGUCAAUGGGCGCAAGCCUGAACCAGCCAAGUCGCGUGAGGGAUGACGGUCCUAUGGAUUGUAAACCUCGUUUGUCGGGGAGCAAGGCCCGCCACGUGUGGCGGGCAGGAGAGUACCCGAAGACAAAGCAUCGGCUAACUCCGUGCCAGCAGCCGCGGUAAGACGGAGGAUGCGAGCGUUGUCCUGAUUUAUUGGGUUUGAAGGGUGCGUAGGCGGAAGGUUAAGUCAGCGGUCAAAUGUCGGUGCUCAACACCGGCCUGCCGUUGAAACUGGUCGUCUUGAGUGAGCGAGAAGUAUGCGGAAUGCGUGGUGUAGCGGUGAAAUGCAUAGAUAUCACGCAGAACUCCGAUUGCGAAGGCAGCAUACCGGCGCGCAACUGACGCUGAGGCACGAAAGCGUGGGGAUCGAACAGGAUUAGAUACCCCUGUAGUC
RNAcentral lists this ribosomal RNA (460 nucleotides) under uncultured bacterium. RNAcentral describes it as "partial 16S ribosomal RNA". It matches the Rfam family "Bacterial small subunit ribosomal RNA", at positions 338 to 795 of the family's 1533-position model. The record is from RNAcentral.